Molecule: transfer RNA, 70 nt
Filed under: Holophagales bacterium
Lineage: Bacteria; Pseudomonadati; Acidobacteriota; Holophagae; Holophagales
Description: tRNA-Ala
Rfam family: tRNA
About the family: Transfer RNA (tRNA) molecules are approximately 80 nucleotides in length. Their secondary structure includes four short double-helical elements and three loops (D, anti-codon, and T loops). Further hydrogen bonds mediate the characteristic L-shaped molecular structure. tRNAs have two regions of fundamental functional importance: the anti-codon, which is responsible for specific mRNA codon recognition, and the 3' end, to which the tRNAs corresponding amino acid is attached (by aminoacyl-tRNA synthetases). tRNAs cope with the degeneracy of the genetic code in two manners: having more than one tRNA (with a specific anti-codon) for a particular amino acid; and 'wobble' base-pairing, i.e. permitting non-standard base-pairing at the 3rd anti-codon position.
Source: RNAcentral
GGUCCAGUAGCUUACGGCAAGCAUAGGGCCUUGCAAGCCCUGGAUUCGGGUUCAAUUCCCGGCUAGAUCU